GUAGCCGUUCCCCUCUCUAGGGCAUCUUCCUGUUUGAUGGUGUCACAGAGCUUACCAAACAAAACUUGUCAUAACCAAAGGUAUUUGGGAAAAAGUAAGUAAGCUACUUCAAAGUCUAGCCAUCUAAAACAUCUCAUGACAUCUUCUACUCUUUCUCUGUGACCUUUAUGGCCCCGUAUUCCAGAAUCAAGACCCUCGCUACUGCCUCCAGACCAGCCUGGUGUUUGGUGCUUUCCCGUGCGUCCUCCUGUGGUGCGCCGUGCCUCCUCUUCCUGGGAAGGGGAAUAAAUGUUGACAAUACAGUGCUGCUGCUGCUGCUGCUGCUGCUGCUAAGUCGCUUCAGUCGUGUCCGACUCUGUGUGACCCCAUAGACGGCAGCCCACCAGGCUCCCCCGUCCCUGGGAUUCUCCAGGCAAGAACACUGGAGUGCGUUGCUGUUCCCUUCUCCAAUGCAUGAAAGUGAAAAUUGAAAGAGAAGUCGCUCAGGUGUGUCCAACUCCUCGCAACCUCAUAGACUGUAGCCUAC
This 526-nucleotide long non-coding RNA is filed under the name Capra hircus (goat). Its description in RNAcentral is "lncRNA (ENSCHIG00000007332.1)". Lineage: Eukaryota; Metazoa; Chordata; Mammalia; Artiodactyla; Bovidae. The record is from RNAcentral.